GAAGGAUGUUGGCCCUUCGGAGUCGCCCUGCGGGGGUGAUUUCAAACCGCCCACUGCCGCAUUAGCUGAAGACCGUUGUGGUGAGCGACGUGGGAAAAGGCGCACCAGAUGCGUCAGGU
This is a non-coding RNA of Saccharothrix sp. ALI-22-I, 119 nucleotides long. NCBI's taxonomy places the organism in Bacteria, Bacillati, Actinomycetota, Actinomycetes, Pseudonocardiales, Pseudonocardiaceae. The record is from Rfam.